Molecule: ribosomal RNA, 451 nt
Filed under: uncultured bacterium
Lineage: Bacteria
Description: bacterial SSU rRNA
Rfam family: Bacterial small subunit ribosomal RNA
Source: RNAcentral
GAUGAACGCUGGCGGCGUGCUUAACACAUGCAAGUCGAACGAACCUUCGGGUGAGUGGCGGACGGGUGAGUAACGCGUGGGAAUCUGCCCUCAGGAGGGGGAUAACGGCUGGAAACGGCCGCUAAUACCCCAUAUGCCGAGAGGUGAAAUGAAUUUCGCCUGAGGAUGAGCCCGCGUCUGAUUAGCUAGUUGGUGAGGUAAGAGCUCACCAAGGCAUCGAUCAGUAGCUGGUCUGAGAGGAUGAUCAGCCACACUGGGACUGAGACACGGCCCAGACUCCUACGGGAGGCAGCAGUGGGGAAUUUUCCGCAAUGGGCGAAAGCCUGACGGAGCAACGCCGCGUGAGGGAUGAAGGCCUCUGGGCUGUAAACCUCUUUUCUCAAGGAAGAAGAUCUGACGGUACUUGAGGAAUAAGCCACGGCUAAUUCCGUGCCAGCCGCCGCAGUAACAC